This 468-nucleotide ribosomal RNA is filed under the name uncultured bacterium. RNAcentral's name for it is "partial 16S ribosomal RNA". It matches the Rfam family "Bacterial small subunit ribosomal RNA", at positions 28 to 507 of the family's 1533-position model. The record is from RNAcentral.
GACGAACGCUGGCGGCGUGCUUAACACAUGCCAGUCGAACGGAAAGGCCCUGCUUUUGUGGGGUGCUCGAGUGGCGAACGGGUGAGUAACGCGUGAGUAACCUGCCCUUGACUUUGGGAUAACUUCAGGAAACUGGGGCUAAUACCGGAUAGGAGCUCCUGCUGCAUGGUGGGGGUUGGAAAGUUUCGGCGGUUGGGGAUGGACUCGCGGCUUAUCAGCUUGUUGGUGGGGUAGUGGCUUACCAAGGCUUUGACGGGUAGCCGGCCUGAGAGGGUGACCGGCCACAUUGGGACUGAGAUACGGCCCAGACUCCUACGGGAGGCAGCAGUGGGGAAUAUUGCACAAUGGGCGGAAGCCUGAUGCAGCAACGCCGCGUGCGGGAUGACGGCCUUCGGGUUGUAAACCGCUUUCGCCUGUGACGAAGCGUGAGUGAUGGCAAUGGGUAAAGAAGCACCGGCUAACUACGUG